AGAACGAACGCUGGCGGCAGGCCUCAAACAUGCAAGUCUAGGGGGUGUAGCAAUACAUCACCGGCGGACGGGUGCGUAACACGUGGGAAUGUACUUACUGGUUCGGAACAACUCAGGGAAACUUGAGCUAAUACCGAAUGUGCCCGAAAGGGGAAAGAUUUAUCGCCAGUAAAUCAGCCCGCGUCCGAUUAGCUAGUUGGUGGGGUAAAGGCCCACCAAGGCGACGAUCGGUAGCUGUUCUGAGAGGAAGAUCAGCCACACUGGGACUGAGACACGGCCCAGACUCCUACGGGAGGCAGCAGUUGGGAAUCUUGGACAAUGGGGGAAACCCUGAUCCAGCCAUGCCGCGUGAGUGAUGAAGGCCUUCGGGUUGUAAACUCUUUCGACGGGACGAUAAUGACGGUACCGUAGAAGAAGCUCCGGCUAACUUCGUGCCAGCAGCCGC
Molecule: ribosomal RNA, 445 nt
Filed under: uncultured bacterium
Lineage: Bacteria
Description: SSU rRNA
Rfam family: Bacterial small subunit ribosomal RNA
Source: RNAcentral